GAUGAACGCUGGCGGCGUGCUUAACACAUGCAAGUCGAACGGGAUCCAAGGGGUGCUUGCACUUUUUGGUGAGCGUGGCGCACGGGUGAGUAACACGCGAGUAACCUGUCUUUUUCUUUGGGAUAAGCAUUCGAAAGGGUGCUUAAUACCUUCUGUUCUGUCUGCCUUGCAUGGGGUGGGUGGGAAAGGCUUUGGCCGGUUUUGGGUGGGCUCGCGGUCUAUCAGCUUGUUGGUGGGGUGAUGGCGUACCAAGGCUUUGGCUGGUAGCGGGCCUGAGAGGGUGGUGGGUCAGAUAGGGGCUGAGGAACGGUCCAGGAGGCUGCGGUGGGCAGCAGUGGAGGAUAGUGCACAAUGGGCGAAAGCCUUAUGGAGCGAGGCCGCAUGGGGGUUGAAGGGCUUCGGGUUGUUGACUUCUUAUACUCGGAACAAGGCAUGCCAGUGGGUGUGUGGAGUGUAGGAGAUGAUUAGCGCCGGCUAACUACGUG
RNAcentral lists this ribosomal RNA (485 nucleotides) under uncultured bacterium. RNAcentral's name for it is "partial 16S ribosomal RNA". It matches the Rfam family "Bacterial small subunit ribosomal RNA", at positions 28 to 507 of the family's 1533-position model. The record is from RNAcentral.